Molecule: ribosomal RNA, 581 nt
Filed under: uncultured eukaryote
Lineage: Eukaryota
Description: SSU rRNA
Rfam family: Eukaryotic small subunit ribosomal RNA
Source: RNAcentral
GUAUUCCAGUUCCAAUAGCGUAUAUUNAAGUGUUGCAGUAAAAAGCUCGUAGUGGAUUUNCGGGCGGNUUUCGUCGGUCCCCCUCUGGUGUGCACUGCCGAAGCUCGCCUUUCUGUCGAGGACGGGCUCCUGGGCUUCAUUGCUCGGGACUCGGGCUCGACGAGGUUACUUGAGUAAAUUAGAGUGUUCAAAGCAGGCGAUCGCCCUGAAUACAUUAGCAUGGAAUAGCAUGAUAGGACUCUGGCCUAUCUUGCUGGUCUGUAGGACCGGAGUAAUGAUUAAGAGGGACAGUCGGGGGCAUUCGUAUUUCAUUGUCAGAGGUGAAAUUCUUGGAUUUAUGAAAGACGAACUUCUGCGAAAGCAUUUGCCAAGGAUGUUUUCAUUGAUCAAGAACGAAAGUUGGGGGCUCGAAGACGAUUAGAUACCGUCGUAGUCUCAACCAUAAACGAUGCCGACCAGGGAUUGGCGGGUGUUCUUUUAAUGACCCCGCCAGCACCUUGAGAGAAAUCAGAGUCUUUGGGUUCCGGGGGGAGUAUGGUCGCAAGGCUGAAACUUAAAGGAAUUGACGGAAGGCNCCACCA